CAGUAGCCGCGGUAAUACGAAGGGGGCUAGCGUUGUUCGGAAUCACUGGGCGUAAAGCGCACGUAGGCGGACUUUUAAGUCAGGGGUGAAAUCCCAAGGCUCAACCUUGGAACUGCCUUUGAUACUGGAAGUCUUGAGUUCGGGAGAGGUGAGUGGAACUGCGAGUGUAGAGGUGAAAUUCGUAGAUAUUCGCAAGAACACCAGUGGCGAAGGCGGCUCACUGGCCCGAUACUGACGCUGAGGUGCGAAAGCGUGGGGAGCAAACAGGAUUAGAUACCCCUGUAGUCCCUGUCUCUUAUAC
Molecule: ribosomal RNA, 301 nt
Filed under: uncultured bacterium
Lineage: Bacteria
Description: partial 16S ribosomal RNA
Rfam family: Bacterial small subunit ribosomal RNA
Source: RNAcentral